CUACGGGGGGCUGCAGUGAGGAAUUUUGCGCAAUGGGGGGAACCCUGACGCAGCAACGCCGCGUGAGUGAAGAAGGCCUUUGGGUCGUAAAGCUCUGUCAACUGGGAAGAAAUUAGAGUUGUUUAACAGAUGAUUCUAUUGACGGUACCAGUGGAGGAAGCGCCGGCUAACUCCGUGCCAGCAGCCGCGGUAACACGGGGGGCGCAAGCGUUAUUCAGAAUUAUUGGGCGUAAAGGGCGCGCAGGCGGUCUUGUCGGUCAGGUGUGAAAGCCCGGGGCUCAACCCUGGAAGUGCACUUGAAACAGCAAGACUUGAGUACGGGAGAGGAAAGCGGAAUUCCUGGUGUAGAGGUGAAAUUCGUAGAUAUCAGGAGGAACACCGAUGGCGAAGGCAGCUUUCUGGACCGAUACUGACGCUGAGGCGCGAAGGCGUGGGUAGCGAACGGGAUUAGAUACCCCAGUAGUC
This 465-nucleotide ribosomal RNA is filed under the name uncultured bacterium. Its description in RNAcentral is "partial 16S ribosomal RNA". It matches the Rfam family "Bacterial small subunit ribosomal RNA", at positions 339 to 795 of the family's 1533-position model. The record is from RNAcentral.